GAUGAACGCUGGCGGCGUGCUUAACACAUGCAAGUCGAACGGAAAGGCCCAAGCUUGCUUGGGUACUCGAGUGGCGAACGGGUGAGUAACACGUGGGUGAUCUGCCCUGCACUUCGGGAUAAGCCUGGGAAACUGGGUCUAAUACCGGAUAGGACCACUUCUUGGAUGUUGUGGUGGAAAGUUUUUUCGGUGUGGGAUGAGCUCGCGGCCUAUCAGCUUGUUGGUGGGGUAAUGGCCUACCAAGGCGUCGACGGGUAGCCGGCCUGAGAGGGUGUACGGCCACAUUGGGACUGAGAGACGGCCCAGACUCCUACGGGAGGCAGCAGUGGGGAAUAUUGCACAAUGGGCGCAAGCCUGAUGCAGCGACGCCGCGUGGGGGAUGACGGCCUUCGGGUUGUAAACUCCUGUCGCUAGGGACGAAGCGUUUUUGUGACGGUACCUGGAGAAGAAGCACCGGCUAACUACGUG
Molecule: ribosomal RNA, 468 nt
Filed under: uncultured bacterium
Lineage: Bacteria
Description: partial 16S ribosomal RNA
Rfam family: Bacterial small subunit ribosomal RNA
Source: RNAcentral